This 434-nucleotide long non-coding RNA is filed under the name Pongo abelii (Sumatran orangutan). RNAcentral's name for it is "lincRNA". Lineage: Eukaryota; Metazoa; Chordata; Mammalia; Primates; Hominidae. The record is from RNAcentral.
ACAAAGUGUUCUUCUGCAAGAGGUCUUUACUUCCUUGUACUGUCUGUCCUGAAGUGUUAUUUCCCUGUUGUUUAAAUUAACCUUGCCCACCAAUCUAUCAGCCCCUCCCAUCCUGCUGUGCUCAGGCAUGCCCACCAAGAAGUCGCCCCCUCCCUGCUAUAACAGCCUUCCCUGCCAGAACUGUUCUUCCCUGCACUCUUCAAAUUAGCUAACUGCAUUCAGUUUAGACUGUGUGGUUCAACCCCAACAAAUAGGGGAAUGACACAUCAACCAAGGCCAAGUGCAUUAGGGAUUAAAAACCCCUGCUGUCUUUUGUCUGAUGUGCUCUUGCCAUUGCUUCAUCCACGAGACGCAUGCUUCUGUAGAAGUAAAUUUGACUCUCUGAGAAAAUUUAUGUUCAACUGCUAUUUCUUUUGGAGCACAAAUAAUAUGUG